Long non-coding RNA from Homo sapiens (human), 1214 nucleotides. NCBI's taxonomy places the organism in Eukaryota, Metazoa, Chordata, Mammalia, Primates, Hominidae. The record is from Ensembl.
AGUGUGCAAUUCUAACAGGUCUUAGCCAGUCCUUCAAGAGCCCAGGAGCUAGAAUGGCUCUUCCAAGUUUUCCAGAAUUGAGACAAAAAGGCCAGGUCUUCGUACAUCUGCAUAGACCAGUUCUUUGAUGUGAGCUAACUCCAGUAAGAGGGUAUAACCUUGAGCAAAGCAGCUCCCUUUAUUCUAGAGCAAUCUCCAAAGUGGUACUCAGCCAUGAAAUGUCUACAGCCAAUACUUCUCGCAGGUGUGGAAAUGCACGCUUCAGACCUGAAGGGGCAACGCAGAAGGCAUACCACAGCAUCCACCACAUGCUUCCACAACAAUAAAAAAUAGUUUGGAUAUUACUUAGCUUAAUAGUUCGAAGAUGUGUCUGUAAAAGUCAGCAUAAUGUUCAGUGACCAGCAACUGCUGAGAUGGUAGCUGCUUCGUCAGGUACAUGAGUCCUCAGUUGACCCACAUGGAUAUAUUGUUGUUUCUGUUUCUACAGCAAAACCUAGCCUUCCCUGACAUCCAAAUCUCCAAAGGACAAGUUGUAUGUGAAAAUGCACUAGGUGGCUCAGAACAGACAGACUCUGUUUGUUUGGGAGAAAGUAGGAGAAGAGAGCAAAAGAUUCUUCCUGGUGAUUAAGAGAAUCCUCCCGGAUCAUGCCCAAUACCAUCAGGGUAAGUACGUUUAUGAGUCUGAAAGAACCAGUGUCACUGAACAUGGGGUGGCCACUAAAGCAGAUACAGCUUAGAUCACAACAUCCAAGUUCCUUUGAAUAUCUGGAAAGCCUUCCCAAGAAGGACAGGUACAAACAAAUCCAGACUGACAAGACUACAAUAAACACCCAAGUCUUCAAUGCCCAGACACAGAUGAACCAUCUACAAGUAUCAGGGCCAUCCAGGGAAACAUGACUUCAUCAAAUGAACUAAGUAAGGCACCAGGGAUCACUCCUGGAGAAACAGAGAUAAUGUGACCUUUCAAACAGAGAAUUCAAAAUAGCUGUUUUGAGGAAACUCAAAGAAAUUCAAGAUAACACAGAGAAGGAAUUCGGAAUUCUGUCAGACAAACUUAACAAAGAGACUGAAAUAAUUUUAAAGAAUUAUGAAACAAUCGUUUUGAAAGUGCCUGCCUUAGACCUCUGCAGUGGAGGUAUGCUGCCUUUGGAUUCAUUGACUCAGUAAGAUGUAGUGAAAACUGAAAACUAUAAUAAAUCUCAACUCCUAUGAGC